GCAGACCUGGGAAGAAGGGAAGAAGAAGAAAGGGAAAGAAGGAAGCGGAGGGAAUUGAGGUGAAGAAGGAAAUGAGGGGUUUUGGUUGCCGCUGCCCAUGGAGGCCUAGGGUUCUUAAGCAUACCAUUAACCCUUCGAUCCGUGGCAUGCUGUUCAUGUGAAAACACGGCGGCCUAGGGGAUCUUCUUAACUCCAGUGCAAGUCCAAGGCUAGCCUCAAGUGUAUCAAGGGCGUGCCAACUGAUUUGAUCCUGCAAUCAGCAAGAAAGAGAAAAGCAGAGUUAGUCAGCCGAUAGCCGAUCGGCCGAUAGCGUAUCGUUGGUGGUCUCUACCGAUGGAGUUAGACCAAAUCGGCUAUAGACUGGAUAUAUUAAAGAAUAUUAAACCCUAAAUAUGCCUCAUUGGUUGUAACAUUGUCUAUCAAGAUUGAUAAAGAAGCUUAAGAUAAUAUUAUUAAAAUAGCCGAUGUAACAAUAUUUAGUGUAAGAAAGAUAAUAUACUGGCUAAUACUC
Molecule: small RNA, 511 nt
Filed under: Oryza sativa Japonica Group (Japanese rice)
Lineage: Eukaryota; Viridiplantae; Streptophyta; Magnoliopsida; Poales; Poaceae
Description: sRNA Os11g0308266
Source: RNAcentral